Molecule: ribosomal RNA, 253 nt
Filed under: uncultured bacterium
Lineage: Bacteria
Description: partial 16S ribosomal RNA
Rfam family: Bacterial small subunit ribosomal RNA
Source: RNAcentral
UACGUAGGGUGCAAGCGUUACUCGGAAUUACUGGGCGUAAAGCGUGCGCAGGCGGUUAUGUAAGGCAGAUGUGAAAUCCCCGGGCUUAACCUGGGAACUGCAUUUGUGACUGCAUAGCUAGAGUACGGUAGAGGGGGAUGGAAUUCCGCGUGUAGCAGUGAAAUGCGUAGAUAUGCGGAGGAACACCGAUGGCGAAGGCAAUCCCCUGGACCUGUACUGACGCUCAUGCACGAAAGCGUGGGGAGCGAACGGG